CUUUUUCCUUGGAUUUAGACACUACCCUUACCAGAGAGGGAGAUUAUCACAGAUUCUACUUACAGGUGGGCAAGAUCUAUGCUAUGGGAGGAGUCAAGUCUGCUAGCUGUUGAGAUGCUUCGUGGGGCUCACAAGAUUGCUCCUGAAUGUCUGACACAAGCUGAUACUGACUCAUCUAUCAAAUGUCACAACUUGUUUAAAAACACAUCAUAAUAUGUGUCAAUCAGUUCAACUCCCAUUUCUUCCUCUUGCUGAUCUCCAAUCAUCUUUAAGGUCAGUUUCCUGGUUGAAAGGAUGAACAGCUUCCUGGCUCAGUCGUUCACACUCUCAUCUGGAAACACGUAGAAAUGUCAUUAAAGGAACUUGGUUAUGUAAGAAGGUACUGUGAGGCCUAGUUAUUCUGGGAAGCAGAGAAGGCAUAUCUCAUCAGUGCUCUCUGGAGGAUGAAAGAAGAUCAUGCAUAUGAGCCAUCCAGGGCAGGACAAAAGAAGUACAUAGUAGAUGCACCUGUGGAGCAGUAGUUGCAGGCAAGUUGUUACUGAUUAUGAUAUUGUCAUCAUAAUUAAAGAAUGUUGAUGAAGUCAGGAUGAAAAACUGGGGACAUAUGUGCUCAGUCAUUAGCUAGCUGUGUAUCUGCCAUUUGUGGAUUACAGUUUACUGUCUAUAAAAUCAGAGUGUUGAGAAAGAGGCAAUCUAUUCCCAAAUACUGUACAUCAUAUUUUUAAAAAUACAGAUUCCAGGACAAUAUCCCAUUCUUUCUAUUUUUUAUUCUUUGUUUUGUUUAUUGGUGUUUUCUGUGUUUUGUUUUAUUUUGUUUUGGAGACUCAUUCUAUCACCCAGAUUGGAGAGCUGCAAUGUAAUCAUAGUUCACCGCAGCCUCGAACUCCUGAGCUCAAGAAAUCCUCCUGCCUCAGCCUCCCAAGUAAUUGGAACUACAGACAUGCACCACCAUGCCAGGCUAAUUUUUUUUUUGUAGAGAUGGAGUCUUGCUAUGUUGCCCAAACUGGUCUCAAACUCCUGGCCUUAAGUGAUCUUCCUGCCUCAGACUCUCUAAGUGCUGAGGUUACCACACCUGGCACCCACCCUUCUAAAUAAGAACUGUGACGAGUAAGAAUCUUAGUAUCUGUAUGUUUUUAAAGAUCCUCAGGUGUUUUGACUUGGACACCAGUCAAUAAAAAAGAGUUUAGGCCCUGUUGGAUUAUACGUAUCUCUGGACUUCUAAAAUCUCCUGAUUCAAAAGAAAUCAAAGUGAUGCCAAAAGGACCGCUGUGUGCAGAGAUGUGAUCGUCCAAACCUUUAUGGAUUUUAACUGAGGAAAUACUGAAUAUGGCCUGAGGUGAUAGACAAGCUAGACAUUGAGGAUGCACCAUUACAAAGCUUAGAUCUAAGGUUCAGAGAAAAUAAAUCUGUAGCAGGAUGGCUAAGCUAGAAUGUUGCCCAUUCUGUAAUAUUCACAACAUAUUUCAGUCUUUCCACUAGUGAAAAAUACCUACUUGCAUUGGAACUUUGUUUUGUGCAUUAAAAAAUAUAGUCACCAGAUUCUCAAAAUUACCCAGCUAUGUUAAUGUCAAAUACAUGAGAGAAAGGGCUUGCCCGUAAUUUACAUAAAAAUACAAAACUUCAGUCCAUAAUCAGUACCUCUGAACAAAGUUAUUCACAUCAGCCAUUGUCAUUCAAGAUGAUACUGCAAUAAAGAUUCAGAGAGAAAUCUUUGAAUGCUACCCUGAAUUAUUCUAUUCAAGGAAGAAUUUUGCGUGAAUAUAGAAGUUACCUCCAUAACUAACUGCAUGCUGAAAAUUAACUUAAUAGUACUGAACACAGAUCUUCAAGAAAGACUUCAUUGGUCACAAGGGUUAUCUGCCAUGCUGCCUAUUAGGAGCGUGAAGGUGAAGGUCCUAGCCUAUAAGGCCCUCAUCUCUGUGAUGCUUAAUCACUGCACAUUCCAGCUCACAGCCUUAAAAACCCUGGCGGCAGAGAACUUGGCAUGCAUCAUGCAGUUUGUCCUCAGUGAGGAAACAGUUAACUCCUUCACAAGCUAUUAUACUAUAGAGCAGACAUGUUCUACUGAAAAGACAAGUACAAAAAUACAGUUAAACAGGAGGAAUAAGUUCUAGUAUUCAGUAGUACAGUAGGGCAAUUACAGUUAGCAACAAUUUAUUGUAUAUUUCCAAAUAGCUAGAAGAAAAAAAUUAUAUUUCCCAACACAAAGAAAAAUGUUUGAGCUGAUGAAUAUCCAAGUUAUCCAGAUUUGAUCAUAACACAUUAAAUAUAUGUAUCAAAAUAUCUCAUGUACCCAAAAAUAUGCGCAACUAUUAUCUAUUAAUUUAAAAAAGUAGUACAAAAAUAAAUACAUACAUUUUUAAAACUAUUUAAAUAAUUGUAUAGAGAACCAGCAAAUGAAGAUUGUUACAACUGACCACAUCCCAAAGGAGAAGGUAGGCUAAAUCCAUUUUCAUGAUUUCAGAGUUUGGGAUACCAUCUUGAGUCAUUGAGAUUGCUCUUCUGACUGGGUCUCUUUAUAUGUAGGUGAUACUGAUUGACAUUCUACUUCAUCCAUGCUGGUUGACUAUUCCCAGACAAAUGAACAUGAAACGUUCAAGUGUGUUUACAUUUGCAUCCAGGGAAAGUCAUCCUUGAAAUAAAAGAAGAGCUGGACGAUCGGAUUAUUUUUUUCAGUUUCUGUAAUAGUUCAUUGGGUGUAUUUACUCAUUAAUGAAUUAAUUUAAAAUGUUUCUUGAUUACCGUCUUUUGCCAGGAAUUAUUCUGGGUCUCAGAUUAAAAAAAUAAUAAUAAUAAUGAAGAAAAGCCCUGCUCCUGUUGACCUUACAUUCUAGUAGAGAAGAGAACUGGACAAGUAAACAAAUAAGCUAAUUUUACAUAGUUGUAAGUGCUAUGGAAGAAAUGAGCAGGAUGGUAUUGUGGAGGAUAAUCAGAAGAAGAAUACUUUAGAUAGAUGGUCAAAAAACUGCUCUCUAAAAACAUUGCAAAAUUUCAGUGAUUCGGGCCAGCAGCUUUGUCAUCUAAUAAGCAUCUAAUUGUUGUGGCCAAUUCUGGAAAUUAAUAUUUCUCUCAAGGUCCAGUGUUGAAGAUGCCCACAAUCCACUGAUCCUUAUUUUUAUAUACAAACCAGAUAACUCUCACCAAACAAAUAAACAACAUUGUUCAAAUUUGGACUUUGGCAGAUAUGUGGUAAAUAUUCAUUUGGAGACUAGCUGAAGACUAAUCAACAACUAUACUUACUGAGUCAUCUAACCAGAUACUGUAUGGAAGAUGAAAUGCACACCAGAAAAAUUAAAUACUAUAGAUUCUGCCUUUGAGGAAUUUUUCAUAUAUUAGGAAGCAUAUCAUCUAUUGCUUGGAAUAUUUCUACAGCACAUAGGCUAUUCAGAAUAGAGCUUUACAUUUUACAAUACAAUGCUCACUACAAUAUUAUGAAGUCAGUGGUACAUCCUUAUUUUACAUAGAAGAAAAAUGAGGUUUUAA
This 3483-nucleotide long non-coding RNA is filed under the name Homo sapiens (human). RNAcentral describes it as "HSALNT0231095". Lineage: Eukaryota; Metazoa; Chordata; Mammalia; Primates; Hominidae. The record is from RNAcentral.